This 2588-nucleotide long non-coding RNA is filed under the name Sorghum bicolor (sorghum). Its description in RNAcentral is "long non-coding RNA (SBIC_LNC008025)". The record is from RNAcentral. Lineage: Eukaryota; Viridiplantae; Streptophyta; Magnoliopsida; Poales; Poaceae.
AACCACGGACACAAACUCAACAAAGCAAAUCUGAAAACGAAUUUGCAAGGCACAACGGGUGACAGGACAACGAAAAUUAAAAUAUUUUUUUGGGCUUUUUGUGGACUGUAGGUAAUGAACAAAUAUAAAUAUAGGGCAAACGAGAUUAUACCUCAUGGUAAACCUAAAAUAUCUUAUACCAAUUGAUGAGGAUAUCUGAUACCAAUUGAUGAGGUUUAGGCCCGAUCUUCCGAGAGGUAGAAGGUAAAUUCGAUUUGUGGAGAACUCGACGUUGGCAAUCUGGCUUCAAAUCAGCACGAUUUGAACCCUGCAACCGUUACACCACUGAUCCGUUGGUUAUCAACCAAGCACAACUUGAUUGACCUUGCCAAGAAGGCUGUUCCUGCAAGCAAAUUGAAGAACACAAGCAAGAAGAUAAAAACACGCAAUCUAGAAUUGCAAAUAUGAAUGACGCAAUUAUCAAAAUUUCAAGAAUUCGGUUCGAAAGGAUUAAUCAACAUAGUGGAGGAGAUCAAUAACGAGGGCCCUGGAUCACUGUAAAAGGAUUUGUCACCACAGUUAUAAUGAACGAUUCAGUUUCUCUAUGGAAAACUAAACUCUAAACAAAACCCAAGUCUAAACAGCGGCGGCUGCAUGGAAUAUAAAGGAGAAGCGACCUAGGGUUGGAGGCGACCAGAGGGAGGCGCCCACAACAUGGGCUUAAGGCUCGAAUUCGAUACAUGGCCAUGUUAGCCCAAAAUAGAUGAUGUAGCACAUUGUCGUGGUCAUAAAGAUUAAUCCACGAAAGAUCUGGAGCUAGGACUAGAUCCAAAAUGACGGCAUCGUCGUCCCCUUUCCAACGAGUCCAAGAUCACUCCGUUUUGAUGUCGUAUGAAGAAGUUAUGAUCAAAACACUGACAACGUGUUUACUAAAUCCCAGAGUGACAUGGUAGGUGAGUUGGAGAUGAAUUGCAACUUGGAAAAGAUGAUGGUGUCAACGUAUCUAGCGUGGCGAUGUCCUCAUCAUACUCCCCCUCUGUUAUUUUAGUUUUAAUUUUACAUUUUAUUUACUUUCCUUAAAUGAAAUAAAAUAAAAUAAAAUAAAGAUAGGAAGACUUGCAUCUAAUAAAGAAAGGGUGACAUGAUUUAUGACAUUUAAAGGUUAAAAGCGUCACAAAUUCUAAUUCUUGCAUAUGCUUAUUCUUGUUGGUCAAAUAUCUUGAUAGGAAUAUCAUAUUGACUAAGUUGUUGAUAAAUAUGAUAUAGUUCUUGGCUCAUGAUUCAUACCGUUUCUAUUCAAAGCACUUAGAGAUUUAUUUUUGAAAAUGUCAUAAAACCAUAGUGUCACUUACUCCUCAAUAGUAAGAAAAGUCAUACCAAUGCCAUAUAGUUCAUACCAUGUUCAAAACCCCUUCUAUAUAUGCUACUUGUACUUGUGUUGAGUUCGGUCAAACCUUGUUGACCGUAGUUGAGAGUUAUGACAUAGUCCCAAGACCAAGAUCACGUACACAGCACAUAUCAUGCUUGCUACUUCUACACUGGAAGUACGCAAAAACAUGUCAUGCAUUUCCACCAUAGAGAUGCUCCAUGUUCUAAGGUUUUAGAAUAUCUCUCUAAGUAUGGCUUAGAAGUUGAGACAUAAAGGCUAUUCAAAAAAAUAAAAAGAAAAAUAAAAAAAUUGUGGACACAUGAAGGUCCAUUGCUCUGAAAAACUAGCCAUGUCUCAAAUAAAAUAAUAUAGAGAGAGAUCAUAUCAAAUUGAGGAGCAUUAUUCCUUUAUCUUCCACACACUUGCACAUCUAGAUCUAGGAUUAUGACAUUCUCCUCCUUGGAUCCUUGUUUUGACUUUACAAUAUAUGCAAUGCAAGUAUGCUAUUUUAUCCCUACCUGAGCCCCACAUAAGCUUGAUAGAUUUAGGAUGAAACAAAAGAAGGAAAUCUUAUGCUAUGCCUUGGUGAGGAAGCAUAUACUUACUGAGUGACUUAAUAAUGCUAUUUGAGGAGUAAGAAUGAACUAUGUGUUUUCUUUUAAAAACCAUUUUCAAAAACUCUAAGUACUAAGGAUAGGAAAAUGGGAAGAUGACUCUGCCUUGAGAACUGUUCCAUUUUUCAACAUCUGAAGGAUAUAUGCUAGACAGUACCACAUAACCCACCUGUAUGUGAUGUGUCAUGAAUGAAACUUUGUCUUUCAUAAUACCUUGAAAAUGUCAUAAUCAUAUUUUAUCAUUCUCUCUAACCUUUGCUCGAGGAUGAGCAAAGACUUGAGUGUGGGGGAUCUUGUUGACGGUAGAUGUGACACAAAUUUACACCUUCAAAACACCGUCAACAGCCUCGGUUUGGAAGGAACAUAAUCAUAAAAUAAAUAUAUUUUAUCCAAUAAUAAGUUCCACAUGUACAUGAAGUAUUUGAUGUAGACAUAUAGGAAAUGGGGACAAAUGGGUCAGUGGGACCCACCUAGUGGGGUCGCUCGACCCCCUAUGGGGCUCACUAGCCUCCCAAAGUGGCCAUGAUCCAUGGGAAAAACUCCAGAGUCAUUCUUGACCCUUGGAUGAAGUGUGUGUUUUCUCUCAAUGGCUGAUAUUUAGCUCACAUGGAUCCAUGGGCCCACAA